GGCUACCGCUAUUGGAGUUCGAUUAAGCCAUGCGAGUCGAGAGUCUUAGGGACUCGGCGUACCGCUCAGUAACACGUGGGUAACCUGCCCUAUGCUGGGGAAUAACCUCGGGAAACUGAGAAUAAUGCCCCAUAGUUCACUACGCCUGGAACGGUGAGUGGAUGAAAGCUCCGGCGGCAUAGGAUGGGCCUGCGGCGUAUCAGGUCGUAGGGGGUGUAACGUACCCUCUAGCCAUCGACGCGUACGGGUGUUGGGAGACAUAGCCCGGAGAUGGAUUCUGAGACACGAAUCCAGACCCUACGGGGUGCAGCAGGCGCGAAAACUUGGCAAUGCGAGAAAUCGUGACCAGGGAACUCCAAGUGGCUGGGGUAAGACCCAGUCUUUUCUUGACUCUUCAAAGGUCUUGGAAUAAGAGGUGGGUAAGGACGGUGCCAGCCGCCGCGGUAAUACCGGCGCCUCAAGUGGUAGUCGAUUUUAUUGGGCCUAAAACGUCCGUAGCCUGUUUGGUACAUUCGUGGGUAAAUCAACCAGCUCAACUGGUUGAAUUCUGCGAGCACGGCCAGACUUGGGACCGGGAGAGGUGUGGGGUACGCUCAGGGUAGGGGUAAAAUCCUGUCAUCCUGAGCGGACCACCUGUUGCGAAGGCGCCACACUAGAACGGAUCCGACGGUCAGGGACGAAGCCUAGGGGCACGAACCGGAUUAGAUACCCGGGUAGUCCUAGGUGUAAACGCUGUGGACUUGGUGUUGGGGAUUCUCAGAGGAUUCUCAGUGCCGAAGCGAAGGUGAUAAGUCCACUGCCUGGGGAGUACGUC
RNAcentral lists this ribosomal RNA (814 nucleotides) under uncultured Candidatus Poseidoniales archaeon. RNAcentral describes it as "SSU rRNA". It matches the Rfam family "Archaeal small subunit ribosomal RNA", at positions 22 to 841 of the family's 1478-position model. Lineage: Archaea; Methanobacteriati; Thermoplasmatota; Candidatus Poseidoniia; Candidatus Poseidoniales. The record is from RNAcentral.